Long non-coding RNA from Drosophila innubila, 299 nucleotides. RefSeq lists it as uncharacterized. The transcript has 2 exons. Lineage: Eukaryota; Metazoa; Arthropoda; Insecta; Diptera; Drosophilidae. The record is from RefSeq and is a predicted model, not a curated record.
GCGAAGAAAGUGAACAGUCUCCAUCAGUUCUCUAAUAAGUUUUUAGAAGCCAAACUCGUUACAAUGAAACUAUUUUUGCCCUGUGCUGUUUUGCUGGCCGUGAUCGCUCUUUGCCAGGGAGCGCCAAAUGAAGCCAAGAAUGACCGUACACCUGUAGCCAAUGAUGCAAACAAUAACGCGGGAAACUCGAAUAAUAACUAAGCUCAAGUCGCGAGUUACGUGAGCUAUGCUUACUGCAGAAUUCAUUUGUCACCUGAUGAAAAUGUAAUUGCAAAUUAUUAAAAAUAUUUAAAAAAUUA